CUUGUAUUAAAAUGUUAUGUGCUUAAAUAAACGAGUGUGUUUUUCAAAUAAACUUCAAAUGGAUCGAAUUGUUAAUGUUAAAGAUCCCAAAAUGAACGACAUAAGGGGCAUGGCCACUUUUUUUUGCGCAUAAUUACCACUGAUGCAGAUCCCAUAGCGAAUGAUAUGGCGUGUGUCUAUAGCCAGACAUAAAGGGCACGGCCACUUCAUAUUCCACCUGAACAUUGGGCGGAGAUUGCGGACGCACUGCUAAAGCGGUGCGUUCCAGCGCUGGAUUGGAGCUGGUCAGCGUACGUUGACGCAUAAACGAUUGUGUACCAUUGUUGUUGUUCAGCAACGUUUGUUGAGCAACGUUUCCGCCAGUUGGAGGAGGUCCAGCAACUGAUUGGCCCAUGCCAAACCAGUUUUGUGCAUUCGUGUUAAACAUUGUUGCCGGCUGCAGCAACAAAGACUUGGCAAUAUUCACGUACAAUUUAAAAACACACUGAAAUUUACUCAAUAUGUACUAAAGCUUGACGGAUUAUUCGGAAA
Molecule: non-coding RNA, 531 nt
Organism: Drosophila virilis
Lineage: Eukaryota; Metazoa; Arthropoda; Insecta; Diptera; Drosophilidae
Source: RefSeq, a predicted model, not a curated record